This 251-nucleotide ribosomal RNA is filed under the name uncultured prokaryote. RNAcentral describes it as "partial 16S ribosomal RNA". It matches the Rfam family "Bacterial small subunit ribosomal RNA", at positions 525 to 775 of the family's 1533-position model. The record is from RNAcentral.
CCGAAGGGGGCUAGCGUUGCUCGGAAUUACUGGGCGUAAAGAGCACGUAGGCGGCCCUACAAGUCAGCUGUGAAAUCCUUCUGCUCAACGGAAGAACGGCAGUUGAUACUAUAGGGCUAGAGUGCGGGAGGGGAGAGUGGAACUUCUGGUGGAGCGGUGAAAUGCGUAGAUAUCAGAAGGAACAUCGGCGGCGAAAGCGACUCUCUGGCCCGUAACUGACGCUGAGGUGCGGAAGCUAGGGGAGCAAACGG